UACAGAGGUCUCAAGCGUUGUUCGGAUUCAUUGGGCGUAAAGAGCUCGUAGGCGGUUCGGCAAGUCACGUGUGAAAUCUCCACGCUCAACGUGGAGGCGCCACGUGAGACUGCUGUGACUCGAGUCCGGUAGGGGAGCGUGGAAUUCCCGGUGUAGCGGUGAAAUGCGCAGAGAUCGGGAGGAACACCCGUAGCGAAGGCAGCGCUCUGGGCCGGUACUGACGCUGAGGAGCGAAAGCGUGGGGAGCAAACAGG
Molecule: ribosomal RNA, 254 nt
Filed under: uncultured bacterium
Lineage: Bacteria
Description: partial 16S ribosomal RNA
Rfam family: Bacterial small subunit ribosomal RNA
Source: RNAcentral